CCUACGGGGUGCUGCAGUGAGGAAUAUUGGUCAAUGGCCGCAGGGCUGAACCAGCCAAGUCGCGUGAGGGAUGACGGUCCUAUGGAUUGUAAACCUCUUUUGUCAGGGAGCAAAGGGCGCCACGUGUGGCGCUUUGCGAGUACCUGAAGAAAAAGCAUCGGCUAACUCCGUGCCAGCAGCCGCGGUAAUACGGAGGAUGCGAGCGUUAUCCGGAUUUAUUGGGUUUAAAGGGUGCGCAGGCGGAAUGUCAAGUCAGCGGUAAAAUUUCGGGGCUCAACCCCGUCGUGCCGUUGAAACUGGCGUUCUUGAGUGAGCGAGAAGUAUGCGGAAUGCGUGGUGUAGCGGUGAAAUGCAUAGAUAUCACGCAGAACUCCGAUUGCGAAGGCAGCAUACCGGCGCUCAACUGACGCUCAUGCACGAAAGCGUGGGUAUCGAACAGGAUUAGAUACCCUAGUAGUC
RNAcentral lists this ribosomal RNA (459 nucleotides) under uncultured bacterium. RNAcentral's name for it is "partial 16S ribosomal RNA". It matches the Rfam family "Bacterial small subunit ribosomal RNA", at positions 338 to 795 of the family's 1533-position model. The record is from RNAcentral.